UCUGUUAGUGAUGUAGAAACAUGUCAUCAUAGCUGCUGAUCAACAGGAGGUGCCAAGAAGAAAAGGAGCAAUCUACCAUCUGCUAGGCCAUCUGUUUCAUAAGACCUAUUCCUUAUUUAGAGCCAUUGGGGUUUUCAUUUAUUUUAAAAAAUGAUCAGCAUCAUCAAAGACCCCAGAUGAAUAAACUGAAGACUGGAAAUAUUGAGCAGCACAAGAUGUUAUAGCCACAUUCCUUUUUAAAAUUGUGUAAUCAACCGGGUGCAGUGGCU
RNAcentral lists this long non-coding RNA (269 nucleotides) under Homo sapiens (human). Its description in RNAcentral is "HSALNT0064874". Lineage: Eukaryota; Metazoa; Chordata; Mammalia; Primates; Hominidae. The record is from RNAcentral.